Molecule: ribosomal RNA, 406 nt
Filed under: uncultured bacterium
Lineage: Bacteria
Description: bacterial SSU rRNA
Rfam family: Bacterial small subunit ribosomal RNA
Source: RNAcentral
UCGAGAAUUUUUCACAAUGGGGGAAACCCUGAUGGAGCGACGCCGCGUGGAGGAUGAAGGCCCUCGGGUCGUAAACUCCUGUCAUGCGGGAACAAGAAAGUGAUAGUACCGCAAGAGGAAGAGACGGCUAACUCUGUGCCAGCAGCCGCGGUAAUACAGAGGUCUCAAGCGUUGUUCGGAUUCAUUGGGCGUAAAGGGUGCGUAGGUGGCGGUGUAAGUCUAACGUGAAAUCUCGGGGCUCAACCUCGAAAUUGCGUCGGAUACUGCAUCGCUCGAGGAUUGUAGAGGAGAGUGGAAUUCACGGUGUAGCAGUGAAAUGCGUAGAUAUCGUGAGGAAGACCAGUUGCGAAGGCGACUCUCUGGGCAAUUCCUGACACUGAGGCACGAAGGCCAGGGGAGCAAACGG